UUGAGCGCUGGCGGCAUGCUUUACACAUGCAAGUCGAACGGCAGCGCGGGCUUCGGCCUGGCGGCGAGUGGCGAACGGGUGAGUAAUACAUCGGAACGUGCCCAGUAGUGGGGGAUAGCUCGGCGAAAGCCGGAUUAAUACCGCAUACGACCUGAGGGUGAAAGCGGGGGAUCUUCGGACCUCGCGCUAUUGGAGCGGCCGAUGGCAGAUUAGCUAGUUGGUGGGGUAAAGGCCUACCAAGGCGACGAUCUGUAGCUGGUCUGAGAGGACGACCAGCCACACUGGGACUGAGACACGGCCCAGACUCCUACGGGAGGCAGCAGUGGGGAAUUUUGGACAAUGGGCGAAAGCCUGAUCCAGCAAUGCCGCGUGUGUGAUGAAGGCCUUCGGGUUGUAAAGCACUUUUGGCGGGAACGAAAAGGACUGUGCCAAUACCACGGUUCGAUGACGGUACCCGCAGAAUAAGCACCGGCUAACUACGUG
This 483-nucleotide ribosomal RNA is filed under the name uncultured bacterium. Its description in RNAcentral is "partial 16S ribosomal RNA". It matches the Rfam family "Bacterial small subunit ribosomal RNA", at positions 29 to 507 of the family's 1533-position model. The record is from RNAcentral.